Long non-coding RNA from Erinaceus europaeus (western European hedgehog), 435 nucleotides. RefSeq lists it as uncharacterized. NCBI's taxonomy places the organism in Eukaryota, Metazoa, Chordata, Mammalia, Eulipotyphla, Erinaceidae. The record is from RefSeq and is a predicted model, not a curated record. The transcript is spliced from 2 exons.
AGCAGUUAAUCGUCUCAUUUAGGGUGGUAGAAAAAUGAAUAAUUAAACUUAUGCCAUUUUCAUAUUUCAGGUAAUAAGAGGCCCUACGAUCCCAGGGGGGGCGUAGGAGAAGGCAGCAAAGUGUUGAAGACUGCUUCCUGCAAACAUAGGACAGAAUUGGGAAGAGAACACCAUAAAAAGGGUGUUUCUAGAUGUUUGGAGUCCUGGAACUACGCAGUGGCAGACUUGGUUGAGUCCACACAUUGCAGUGUCCCAGGACCUGGAUUCAAGCCCCCAGUUGCCACCUACAUAGCAGGGCAGCUGUGUGAGUGGCGAAACGGUUCUGCAGGAGUCUCUCUCCCUCUCUCUCCCUCUUGCUUCACAACUUCUCUCUGUCUCUAUUUAAAAUAAAUAUAUAAAUAAAAAGAUUUUUAAAAGUUUGGAGCACUUGUUAUG